This 459-nucleotide ribosomal RNA is filed under the name uncultured bacterium. RNAcentral's name for it is "partial 16S ribosomal RNA". It matches the Rfam family "Bacterial small subunit ribosomal RNA", at positions 339 to 795 of the family's 1533-position model. The record is from RNAcentral.
CUACGGGUUGCUGCAGUAAGGAAUAUUGCGCAAUGGAGGCAACUCUGACGCAGCCAUGCCGCGUGCAGGAAGAAGGCCUUAUGGGUCGUAAACUGCUUUUAUUUAGGAAUAAACCCUCGCUCGUGAGCGAGGCUGAAGGUACUGAAUGAAUAAGCACCGGCUAACUCCGUGCCAGCAGCCGCGGUAAUACGGAGGGUGCAAGCGUUAUCCGGAUUUAUUGGGUUUAAAGGGUGCGCAGGCGGGCUAUUAAGUCAGUGGUGAAAUCCCGGGGCUCAACUCCGGAACUGCCAUUGAUACUGAUAGUCUUGAGUUUGGUUGAAGUGGGCGGAAUGUAGCAUGUAGCGGUGAAGUGCAUAGAUAUGCUACAGAACACCAAUCGCGAAGGCAGCUCACUAAGCCAAAACUGACGCUCAUGCACGAAAGCGUGGGGAUCAAACAGGAUUAGAUACCCUCGUAGUC